Molecule: long non-coding RNA, 891 nt
Organism: Vespula pensylvanica (western yellowjacket)
Lineage: Eukaryota; Metazoa; Arthropoda; Insecta; Hymenoptera; Vespidae
Exons: 3
Source: RefSeq, a predicted model, not a curated record
ACCACUGUAAUCACGUUUGCAUCACUGGAUUUAAUUCCGUAAACGAGAUUUUACCCGUUAUCCAUGAUCAUGAGAUGCAUGAGGUCAAACAGAGAUAUCAAUGAAUUAUUAUUCUUGCGGUUACCAUUGGCAUUCUGGUAGAUCGAUUUUGCUAUCAUGCAAACAAUUUAUUAUCAAUCGACGAUUGGACAUGUGCAUAUUGAAUGAUGAAUACCUAAUCCAGGCAUCAUCGGAUUCCUGUUACACGAUGGAUUUAAAUCCAAGCAUAUUUCGUGUUGACCUAGCCAAUAGAAAAUAGUUUUGGUCGAUAGUGAGAAGGAACAAACAACGUUCAAGGUACCAAGCGUCGUUUGGGGUUGCUUGGUUGGCGAUACGCCACGCAUCAUUUGCCUCGAGAGUUAAUGCAGUAGCCAGACUCGCCGCUAGCCUACAAGAUUAGAAAGUAUAAUGCUUAUGUUUUAUAGAUUCGAGAAGCCAGUUUUCAGACGAAGAAAUUUAUAUAGCUAUCUACGACAGAUGCGAAAGUGGACACAUGUGCAUACCAGUUAUGCGCUUUGAGCGAUCCUGAGAAUCCCACAGGAUCCCAGUGGUGGUUUCGAAGCUUCCCGCACUUACUAUCGAGAAUGCACUUUUCUUGUUUCGCACUUAAGACGAGUUUCUGGAUGCGAGAGCUACCGUUACUUUCAAUAUGAACGCAUAUCGCCGUGAGCGGUCUCUUGCAAUACCUACAUACGUUAUUAAAAGUCUAUAAUCGUGUUAUUUCUUUACGAUAAUAAUUAUAUCAACUUUGUCGAACGUUUUCAGAUAUUGAAUUGUGAAGAAGUAGUUGAAUGGGAGUCAACCGAUUCGAUUUGAAUCGAAUGUAAAUGUAGGAACGAUCAGCUUAUAUGA